Molecule: ribosomal RNA, 383 nt
Filed under: uncultured eukaryote
Lineage: Eukaryota
Description: partial 18S ribosomal RNA
Rfam family: Eukaryotic small subunit ribosomal RNA
Source: RNAcentral
CAAUAGCGUAUAUUAAAGUUGUUGCAGUUAAAAAGCUCGUAGUUGGAUUUCUGGCAGGAGCGACCGGUCACACACUCUGUGUGUGAACUUGCGUUGUCUCUGGCCAUCCUUGGGAAGAUCCUGUUUGGCAUUAAGUUGUCGGGCAGGGGAUACCCAUCGUUUACUGUGAAAAAAUUAGAGUGUUUAAAGCAGGCUUAUGCCGUUGAAUAUAUUAGCAUGGAAUAAUAAGAUAGGACUUCGGAACUAUUUUGUUGGUUUGCGUUACGAAGUAAUGAUUAAUAGGGACAGUUGGGGGUAUUCGUAUUUCGUUGUCAGAGGUGAAAUUCUUAGAUUUGUUGAAGACGAACAAAUGCGAAAGCAUUUGCCAAGGAUGUUUUCAUUAA